Molecule: ribosomal RNA, 245 nt
Filed under: uncultured bacterium
Lineage: Bacteria
Description: partial 16S ribosomal RNA
Rfam family: Bacterial small subunit ribosomal RNA
Source: RNAcentral
GUGCGAGCGUUAAUCGGAAUUACUGGGCGUAAAGCGCACGUAGGUGGCGACGUAAGUCGGGUGUGAAAGCCCCGGGCUCAACCUGGGAAUUGCAUUCGAGACUGCAUUGCUGGAGUACGGAAGAGGAGGGCGGAAUUCCCGGUGUAGCGGUGAAAUGCGCAGAUAUCAGGAGGAACACCGGUGGCGAAGGCGGUUACCUGGAGCUUUGCUGACGCUGAUGCGCGAAAGCGUGGGGAGCGAUCCGG